This 1220-nucleotide ribosomal RNA is filed under the name uncultured organism. RNAcentral describes it as "bacterial SSU rRNA". It matches the Rfam family "Bacterial small subunit ribosomal RNA", at positions 201 to 1449 of the family's 1533-position model. The record is from RNAcentral.
GGAAAGCUUUUGCGGUUUGGGAGGAGUCUGCGUUGUAUCAGGUAGUUGGUGGGGUAAUAGCUCACCAAGCCACUGACGCAUAGCGGGUGUGAGAGCAUGACCCGCCAGAAUGGGACUGAGACACGGCCCAUACUCCUACGGGAGGCAGCAGUGAGGAAUCUUCCGCAAUGGGCGAAAGCCUGACGGAGCCAUACCGCGUGCAGGAUGACACCUUUCGGGGCGUAAACUGCUUUUCUGAAGGAAUACAUUCUGAAGGUACUUCAGGAAUAAAGGUCGGCUAACUACGUGCCAGCAGACGCGGUAAUACGUAGGAACCUAAGCGUUAUCCGGAAUCACUGGGCGUAAAGCGAUCGAAGGUGGACCAGUAAGUCUGAUGUUGAAUACCCAACGGCUCAACCGGGGUGCUGCGUUGGAAACUACUGGACUAGAGGAAGACAUAGGUAGCUGGAAUACUUGUAGUAAGGGUUAAAUCCGUAAGAUAACAAGAGGAACACCGAAAGCGAAGGCAUGCUACUGGGUCUUUCCUGACACUGCGCGAUUCGAAAGCGUGGGGAUCGAAAGGGAUUAGAUACCCCUGUAGUCCACGCCGUAAACGAUGAAUGCUCGGCGUUCGAUUUUUAAUCGAUUGAGUGCCCAAGCUAACGCGUUAAGCAUUCCGCCUGAAGAGUACGACCGCAAGGUUAAACCUCAAAGGAAUAGACGGGGAUCCACACAAGCGGUGGAGCAUGUGGUUUAAUUCGACAAUAAGCGGGGAACCUUACCAGGACUUGACAUCUUCGGAAUUUGCUGGAAACAGCGAAGUGCCUUCGGGAACCGAAUGACAGGUGUUGCAUGGUUGUCGUCAGCUCGUGCCUUGAGGUGUUCGGUUAAGUCCGUUAACGAGCGCAACCCUCGUCGUAUGUUGUAUUGUUCAUACGAGACUGCCGGUUUUACACCGGAGGAAGGUGAGGAUGACGUCAAAUCAGCAUGGCCCUUAUGUCCUGGGCGACACACGUGCUACAAUGGCCGGUACAAAGAGCAGCAAAGCCGUAAGGCGGAGCCAAUCUCAUAAAGCCGGUCCUAGUUCGGAUUGAGGGCUGCAACUCGCCCUCAUGAAGCUGGAAUCGCUAGUAACCGUAGAUCAGCCAUGCUACGGUGAAUAUGUUCCUGGAUCUUGUACUCACCGCCCGUCAAGUCAUGAAAGAUAGGGGCGCCCGAAGUCGCGUUACCCCCUCGGGGGG